Molecule: non-coding RNA, 117 nt
Filed under: Thalassionema nitzschioides
Lineage: Eukaryota; Bacillariophyta; Fragilariophyceae; Thalassionematales; Thalassionemataceae
Source: RNAcentral
AGAAAAGAAGAGAUCAAUAAGAUGAAAGAAAAAAGAGUAGUUGCGAGAACCAUUUCAGUGUUUUUCUAUCCGUUAACUGCAUGUUUCAGCAUGCUUUUUGAUGCCAUUCUUUAUCUU